RNAcentral lists this transfer RNA (72 nucleotides) under Caenorhabditis remanei. It matches the Rfam family "tRNA". Rfam says of the family: Transfer RNA (tRNA) molecules are approximately 80 nucleotides in length. Their secondary structure includes four short double-helical elements and three loops (D, anti-codon, and T loops). Further hydrogen bonds mediate the characteristic L-shaped molecular structure. tRNAs have two regions of fundamental functional importance: the anti-codon, which is responsible for specific mRNA codon recognition, and the 3' end, to which the tRNAs corresponding amino acid is attached (by aminoacyl-tRNA synthetases). tRNAs cope with the degeneracy of the genetic code in two manners: having more than one tRNA (with a specific anti-codon) for a particular amino acid; and 'wobble' base-pairing, i.e. permitting non-standard base-pairing at the 3rd anti-codon position. The record is from Rfam by way of RNAcentral. Lineage: Eukaryota; Metazoa; Nematoda; Chromadorea; Rhabditida; Rhabditidae.
CCGUCGAUAGAGCGGAGGACUGUAGAGUCAGUGGUUAUCCUCAGGUUGCUGGUUCGAAUCCGGCUCGACGGA